RNAcentral lists this transfer RNA (73 nucleotides) under Camelus bactrianus (Bactrian camel). It matches the Rfam family "tRNA". Rfam says of the family: Transfer RNA (tRNA) molecules are approximately 80 nucleotides in length. Their secondary structure includes four short double-helical elements and three loops (D, anti-codon, and T loops). RNAcentral also lists the same sequence under 2 other names. Lineage: Eukaryota; Metazoa; Chordata; Mammalia; Artiodactyla; Camelidae. The record is from Rfam by way of RNAcentral.
GAGGGUAUAGCUCAGUGAUAGAGUGUGUGCUUAGCAUGUACUGAGGUCCUGGGUUCAAUCUCCAGUACCUCCA